AUGAAAGUGCAUUCCUGCAGAUUAUUAACAUAAUCAUCUCAUUUAUAUUAUAGAUGAAUACCUAAGAUGUCUCCCAACUUGACACUUUAUGAAACAGGUAGUUAAUUAAUGUAGGUAAAGCAGCAUUUAACCCGAAGCCUUCCCAGCAGGCGUCUGGCAAGGUGCAAAAGCAGGAAAAAGAAUAUAGGGAUAAGCAGAGAGAACAAAAGGGUGGCUGGAGCCAAAAUCUUGGAAAUGGAAAUCAGAAAAAGGAAGGCAGAGGUCUUGCUGAGGUUUUUCUGGAGGCCUUGGUGCUAUGGACUCACCAUUUCGUGCAUGGUCAGGAAGCACAAAAUAUCAUCCUUCUUGCUCUCUAUGAAGCUGGCAACAGCUUUAGUCUCUGGUUCAGACACUGGCCCUGUCCCACAGAAUGUUUGAUCUUGGCAGUUUCUAGAGGCACCAAUACCUAGAAUAUGGAAGAAACCACAAAGAAGGCUGCAUGAUCCACUGUGUUGCUCAGGCUGUUCUCAAACUCCCGGCCUCAAGCAAUCCUCCUGCCUCAGCCUCCUAAAGUGCUGGGAUUGUAAGUGUGAGCCGCUGAGCCAGGCACAAAAUAGUUUUAAUGCCUUAGAAAUCCUCUGCAUUCUUCCAAUUUAUCCCUCCCUUUCCCUAACCCCUGGCAACUACUGCCCUGUUUACUUCUCCAUAGUUUUGUCUUUUCAGAAUGUAACAUAGUUGGACUCAUACAGUAUGCAACAUUUUCAGGUUGACUUCUUUCACUGAAUAGUAUGCAUUUAAGUUUCCUCCAUGUCUUGUCAUGGCUUAAUAAGCUAAUUUCUUUAUUAGCACUGUGUAAUAUUCCAUUGUCUGGAUAUACCACAGUUUAUUUACCCUUACUCAUCUACUGAAGAACACCCUGGUUGCUUCCAAGAUAUGGCAGUUAUGAAUAAAGCUGCUAUAAUCAUCCCUGUACAGAUUUUUAUGUUGACAUGUUUUCAAUUCAUUUGGAUAAAUACUAAAGAGUGCAAUGGUUGGAUAAUAUGGUAAGAGUUUGUUUAGUUUUGUAAGAAAUUGCCAAACUGUCUUCCAAAGUGGCUGUACCAUUUUGAAUUCUCAUCAGCAACGAAUGAGAGUUCCUGUUGCUCCACAUCCUUGUCAGCAUUUAGUGUUGUCAGUGUUUUGGAUUUUGGACAUUCUAAUAGGUGUGAAGUAUAUUAUCUUCUUGUUUUAUUAACAAGUAUUAUCAUCUUAUUUUAAUUUGUGAUUCCCUAGUGACAUAUGAUGUGGAAUAUCUUUUUUAUGUUUUCUCGCUGUCUCUAUAUUUUCUUUGAUGAGGUGUCUGUUCAAGUCUUUUGCCAAUUUUUUAUUCAAGUUAUUCCUUUUCUUGUUGUUGAGUUUUAAGAGUUAUUUAUAUAUUUUGGAUAACAGUCCUUUAUCAGAUGUGUGUUUUGAAAAUAUACUCUGUCAGUUUGUGGCUUGUCUUUUUGUUUCUUAACAUUGUCUUUUGCAAAGUAGAAGUUUCCAAUUUUAAUGAAGUCUAGCUUAUCAAUUCUUACUUUCGAGGAUUGUGCCAUGUGUGUUGUAUCUAAAAACUCAUCACCAUACCCAUAGUCAUCUAGGUUUUCUCUUAUGCUAUCUUCUAGAGUUUUAUAGUUUUGCAUUUUCUAUUCAGGUCUAUGAUACAUUUUGAAUUAAUAUUUGUGAAGGUGCGAUGUCUAUGUCUAGAUUUACUUAUUUUGCAUUUGGAUGUCUAGUUGUUCCAGCACUAUUUGCUGAAAAGACUGUUUUGUUCCUUUGUCAAAGAUCUUUUGACUAUAUUUAUGUAGGUUUAUUUAUGGGAUCCCUAUUUUCUCCCUUUGAUUUAUUUGUUAAUUUUGUUACCAAUAACACCUGUCUUGAUUACUGUAGCUUUAUAUUAAGUCUUGAGGUUGGGUACUGUCAGUCCUUUGACUUUGUUCUUCUCUUUCAAUAUUGAGUUGAAUAUUUUCGGUCUUUCACUUUUCCAUAAAAACUUUAGAAUCAGUUUGUCAAUAACCACAAAGUAACUUGCUAUCAAGUUGGGAGGAACUGACAUCUUAACAAUACUCAGUCUUCCUGUCUGUGAACAUGGACUUUCCAUUUAUUUAGUUCUUCUUUGAUCUCUUUCAUUAGAGUUUUUUAGUUUUCCUCAUAUAGAUCUUGUAUAAAUUUUGUUAGAAUUAUACCUAAGUAUUUUAUUUUGAGGGGUGCUAAUGUAAAUGGUAACUUGUUUUUAAUUUCAUAUUUUACUUGUCCAUUGAUGUUACAUAGGAAAUCAAUUGACUUUCUAAUAUUAACUUUGUAUCCUGCAACUUUGCUAUAAUUGCUUAUUCCAGGAGACUUUCUUGUGGUUGAUUCUUUCUGAUUUCUACAUUGAUAAUCAUGUCAUCUUCAAACAAAUACAGUAUUAUUUCUUUCUUCCCAAUCUGUAUACUUUUUAUUUUAUUUUCUUGUCUUAUUACAUUAGCUAGGACUUUCAGUAUAAUGUUGAAAAAGAGUGCUGAGAGGGAACAUCCUUGCCUUCACCUUAGUAGGAAAGCUUCUAGUUUCUCAUCAUUAAGUAUAAUGUAAACUGUAGAUUUUUUGGAGAUGUUGUUUAUCAAGUUGAGGAAGUUCCCUACUACCUUUUUAAUCACAAAUGUGUGUUAGAUUUUGUCAAAUGCUUUUUCUACAUCUAUUUAUAUAAUCAUGUUAUGUUUCUUCUUCAGCCUGUGGGUAGAACAGAUAGUACUAAUUGAUUUUUGAACGUUGAACCAGCUUUGCAUACCUGGGACAAAUUCCACUUGGUUGUGGUGUCUAAUUCUUUUUAUACAUUGUUGAAUUUGAUUUGCUACUAUUUCAUUGAAGAUUUUUCUAUCUGUGUUCAUGAGAGAUAUUGGUCUGUAAUUUUUUUUUCUUUUAAUUCUUUGAUUUUGGCAUUAAGAUAAUACUGAUCUCAUAAAAUGAGUUAGGAAGCAUUCUCUCUGCUUCUAUUUCUGGAAGACAUUGCAGAGAAUUGGUAUAAUUUUUUCCUUAAAUAUUUGGCAGAAUUCACCAGUGAACCUAUCUUUAGUUUCCUAGUUUAAAUGCCCUAUGUAAGCAAGAAAUGGGGUUAUAUUUUUAUUGUCAGGGCAUAUUAAGUGGUAAUUCAUUUACCCAGCAAAUAUGUAUAGAAUGGCUACUAUGUUAAUGGCAUUGGAGUAUGAACUUUUGGAGCUGUUGGGGUACAAACUUUUGUAUAGUGAUACUGAGUUGCAAUGAAGUGUGUUAGAGAUCUAAUUAGCUAACAUUUCUAUGACUUUUACCUAUUCUUCUACAUUUUCUUGAGCAUUCAAAAAAUGCUCAAAAUAGUAUUGUGUCUUCUCUUUCUCUAAGUCUUCAUUUCUUUAUUUGUAAAAUGGGAAUAAUAAUAGUACCUUCCCAAAGGAUUUUUAUGAGGAUUAAAUAAGAUAAUCUGUGUUUAACAAUAAGCACAAUUUCUGACAUAUAGUCAAUUCCUAGUAAGUGUUAAAAUACAAUUCAAAACAAAGCAUAAGCCCUAUUUUGCUGCAUGAUAUUAAAAAUAAAAAUUGUACAAAGAAUAAUUUAGCCAUCCAACUAGUAUUAUCCUCAAACAAUGCCAAACUACAAAAUGUUUUGAUAGAAUUAAUUAAAAUGCAAGUUCCAGUCAUAUCUAUGAUUUAAAAUUCAUAAAAAUUCAUUCUUAACAUACAUUUUCAGGAGCAAAUUUCGUGUCUUUAUAAAGUAAUCAGCAAAUAUGUAUAUUUUAUACUAACAAUAGUUAACCCUUACUGAGCACUACAUGCUAGGCACUGGUCAAAGCACUUUAUAUUAUUAUCUUAUUUAAGUCACUCAACCACCCAGUGGGUAUAUAUUCUUACUACUCUAUGCAAAAGUAGUAAUAGGUAGUAGUAAUUGAAAAGAAGAUUUAUUUCUUGCAGAAUUAAAAAUCUACUUAAGACAAUAAGACAUAAAUUAUGUAUGCUAGAAACUGUUCUAAAAACCUGAUAUCUAUAUCAUGUCUGUCCAUCUAUCUGCUUAUCAUCUAUCUAUCUAUCUAUCUAUCUAUCUAUCUAUCUAUCUAUCUAUCUAUCAUAAAACACCAAAAGCAAUGGCAACAAAAGCCAAAAUUGACAAAUGGGAUUUAAUUAAACUAAAGAACUUCUGCACAGCAAAAGAAACUAUCAUCAGAGUGAACAGGCAACCUACAGAAUGGGAGAAAAAUUUUGCAAUCUAUCCAUCUGACGAAGGGCUAAUAUCAAGAAUCUACAAAGAACUUACACAAAUUUACAAGAAAAAAGCAAACAACCCCAUCAAAAAAUGUGCAAAGGAUAUGAACAGACACUUCUCAAAAGAAGACAUUUAUGCAGUCAACAGACAUAUGAAAAAAUGCUCUUCAUCACUGGUCAUUAGAGAAAUGCAAAUUAAAACCACAAUGAGAUACUAUCUCACGCCAGUUAGAAUGGCAAUCAUUAAAAAGUCAGGAAACAACAGAUGCUGGAGAGGUUGUGGAAAAAUAGGAACGCUUUUACACUGUUGGUGGGAGUGUAAAUUAAUUCAACCACUGUGGAAGACAGUGUGGCGAUUCCUCAAGGAUCUAGAACUAGAAAUACCAUUUGGCCCAGCAAUCUCAUUACUGGGCAUAUACCCAAAGGAUUAUAAAUCAUGCUGCUAUAAAGAUACACGCACACGUAUAUUUAUUGUGGCACUAUUCACAAUAGCAAAAACUUGGAACCAACCCAAGUGUCCAUCACUUCAUCAGUGAUAGACUGGAUUAAGAAAAUGUGGCACAUAUACACCAUGGAAUGCUAUGCAGCCAUAAAAAAGGAUGAGUUCAUGUCCUUUGCAAGGACAUGGAUGAAACUGGAAACCAUCAUUCUCAGCAAACUAUCAUGAGAUCAGAAAACCAAACACUGCAUGUUCUCACUCUUAAGUGGGAGUUGAACAAUGAGAACACAUGGACACAGGGAGGGGAACAUCACAGACUGGGGCCUGUAGGGGGUGGGGAUCUAAGGGAGGGAUAACAUUAGGAGAAAUACCUAAUGUAGGUUACAGGUUGAUGGGUGCAGCAAACCACCAUGUCACGUG
RNAcentral lists this long non-coding RNA (5064 nucleotides) under Homo sapiens (human). RNAcentral's name for it is "non-protein coding lnc-KLF7-2:1". The record is from RNAcentral. Lineage: Eukaryota; Metazoa; Chordata; Mammalia; Primates; Hominidae.